RNAcentral lists this ribosomal RNA (253 nucleotides) under uncultured bacterium. RNAcentral's name for it is "partial 16S ribosomal RNA". It matches the Rfam family "Bacterial small subunit ribosomal RNA", at positions 524 to 776 of the family's 1533-position model. The record is from RNAcentral.
UACGGAGGGUGCGAGCGUUGUCCGGAAUCACUGGGCGUAAAGGGCGCGUAGGCGGCUCAUGAAGGCUGUGGUGAAAGUCCGGGGCUCAACCUCGGAUCGGCCGUGGCGACUCGUGGGCUGGAGCACUGUAGAGGCGGGUGGAAUUCCGGGUGUAGCGGUGGAAUGCGUAGAGAUCCGGAAGAACACCAGUGGCGAAGGCGGCCCGCUGGGCAGUGACUGACGCUGAAGCGCGACAGCGUGGGGAGCAAACAGG